RNAcentral lists this long non-coding RNA (43624 nucleotides) under Malus domestica (apple). RNAcentral describes it as "long non-coding RNA (MDOM_LNC004302)". The record is from RNAcentral. Lineage: Eukaryota; Viridiplantae; Streptophyta; Magnoliopsida; Rosales; Rosaceae.
CAUUUCCUAACCUUUCCUUUUUCUUCACUCUUCAUUUAUUGGUCCAGCUUCUCAGGUUGAACCGAGAAGCUGAUCGAUUCAGCCGCAUUGCAAGAAAAAUGGAUUUUAUGAAGAAAGGCACUGGAUGUUUCCUCUGCUUUUUUAUUUUUUGUAUGUAACUGGUUUGUACCAACAAAAAAGUUACGAGACUUGGCGUAAUCGCACGGGUAAAGCUUAGUGAAAACAAUUUUACGAUGUCAGUUUCUGUUGUGAUAUACACAUCCACAUCAGUUGCAUUUGAUUGAAAUUCAUGAUUUGGAAAAGUUAAUGAAAUUUUGUGGACAUUCAUUUCAUUUGCAAUGCAACUUAGACCUUAUUGGCAAUUGGUUUGUGGACACAAGAUUUACUACUUAAUUUGGAUACCUUGUCAAAUUAGAGUCAAUAAUUAACAAUGGCAUAUCUAGUAAGAAGUUAUUUCUGCAUGCCUCCCUUCCCAUUUCCUACGGCUGUUUAGCUUGCAAGCACACAAAUCAUUUGUAAUAAAGAUAUGCAAAUACGAGAUCAAAUUCAUCGAGAUUGAAUGAACAAUAAUUUGGUAUCUUAUGUUUAGCUGCGGACAUGACUGACCUCAGGAGGUCUCAAUGGAAAAAAUUUCAGAAAAAAUGUAGACAAAAGUAACAUUGAGGAAUUAAAUGAUAAUUCUUUUCAUUCGUAAAUAAUAGUGUAAACAAUGUUAUUACAAUCUACAAAGUCCAAAAUUAUCAUCGACGAGUUUUCAUAUUUUGAAAAUGUUUAUGAUAGUUUCAUACUCAACGAUCAAUCCACAACUCUAAUAACUGAAAUUUGAGAAUAAUGAGUACAAAUAGUGAACUUGAUACACUAGGAAGCUUAAGGAGGUCCCAGAAAGUCCAUAUUCGGGGCCUUCAUGCAUGGACUCGAGUGUUUCUUAAUCAUCUAAUCAGAAGCCGAUUGUUUAUACCAGUCAAUCGACGUCCCAGAAAGUCCGCUCUUCUGCUUCGACGUUGCUGAACCCGCUCUACCAUGGAGACGGCUCCCUCCUCGUCUUCCUACCCAUGGCACGGGUUUAGUCCUCCUUGAUGGUCAGCUAAUGUUCACCUAAGCUUUCGCACUUAGUAAACAAGCCUUCACUAGUUGCCUGGAACAUAACUACUAUUACUAUGAUGAUUAUUACGCCGACCACCACGGCGUUUAUAAUGCUUCUGGUUCUAAUUGGGGUGUAGUAGCCUGUCAACUGUCCAGUACCGAUUCCGAUGACUUCGGAACUUGGAUUAAGCCCAUCCAAAUUCUGGAGCCAAGGUUGCCGAGUGAAUUUUGGGGGCGAUGCACACUUAUAGCUUUGCUCAUCUAGGAGGUUCAAAAGUAUGCUUUGUUCUUUCCAAUCCCAUCUCGCACCCAAAAAAAAUUUGUCUUUGGAAGGUGCGUCUUCUUGUUCAAACUUUUGAGUUUUCCUUCUCCAAACAAAGUACCACCCUCACUAGUGCUGCUUUAUUUUAUUGUUUUUUAUUUUUUGUUUUUUUUGGAAAACCUUAAUGGUAUAAGGGUAAUUUUAUUGAUAACAAAAAAAUAAGUUACACCUAGACAGAAGGGGACAUAAACCUUACCCCUCAUAAAACAGAGACAAUAAAUAGGAAUACACGAAAAAGAAGGGGGAACAUAAACCUUACCCUUCUAGAAAUAAAAAACGAGAAUGAUACAAAGAAAAGAGGGGGGGGACAUGAAACAUAAUCCCUCUAAAACCAAACCUAAAGGUCUAAACUUGCAAAACAAGUCAAACAACCCCAUAAAGUUAGGAGAAAAAAAAAAGUGAGACAAACCUGGAUGCCGACAUGCACAUUAAUUUGAGAAGCAAUAACCAGGCAAGCCAACAUAGUCUGAAAACAAAGCAGCACAAACCGCCAUCGGAGGAGAAUCAUGCCAAGUUAAAGAUGGAGAAGACAAUCCCAUGUUAGCAAAAUUGUCUGCAACAAGAUUUACUUCACGAUGUACAUGAGAUACAUAGAAAGUCAUUUUCCGAAUACGAUCUAAACAAAUAGACCAUUGCGUAUGAAGAGGCCAAGGAGGAUCAAAAUUAGACGAUUGAAGAGCAUAAAUAACACUAGAACUAUUACUUUCAAACCAAAGACAAUGCCAACCCUAUUGAUAUGCAAACUCAAUACUAAUAAUAAUUGCUAAUAACUCUGCAAAAAAAAAAAAAAAAGUUGCGAUGACCAAUGCAUUGACAGAAACCUCCAAGAAAACAACCAUGACAAUUCCUGAAAAAUCCUCCACAUGUAGCAGGAUCAGAAUUUCCUUUAGACAAACCAUCUGUAUUAAGCUUAAACCAAGGAAACCAAAGGACAGGAAGAAUAGUAGGUGCCUUGCGAGGGAUAGGUUGGAUCCCCAAAGAAGAAAUGAUCCGAGUGUCAAAACCUUGAGAAUAACCAGAAAUAAACUUCCCACCAUGAACAAUCGCCGAAUUGAUAGAAAUGCAAAAGACGAUGAAAAUAGAUUGGACGACCCUAAAAAAUAAAUUUAUUUUGAGCCUUCUAAAUAGCUGAAAUAGUAGAAAGACCCGCAAAAAUCCAUAGAUUGUGCAACUGUUUGGAAAAUGGCUUACAGACAUAGACAUCCCAAAAAACAACCAAAGAAUCUGAAAGAGGCAAAAAUGUACCAAAUUAACAUACUAACCACCUCCAAAGUUGCCUAGAUAUCUGACAUCCAAUGCUGCCGAUGAUGGUGAUGAUUAUAAUUAUAAUGAUGGAGGCUGCGAUUCAAAAAGAUCAUUCGAUUUCUCCUCUUUCAAAGCCGACAUCCUCUCCACUCGCAACUUUGAAUACGAUUGGUGCGGAGAAUCUUUUGAGACUGCUCACGCAGCCGUGCUUGGUUGCUUUGCCCUGUAAGUUUCGUCGGUAAGGUUAACUUUCCAAUUCUAUCCCAUUUUCUGUAUUUGCUUUCUCCUGCGUGCGGCCUUAACUUGUAACUGUACUACGUAGGAAAGCAUUAGUCAAUGUAUUUCCUGUGCACACACUAUCACUUGAGGAACAAGUUCGACUGCAUUGUUUGCGAUUUAAGUCAAUCUAGACCCUGCAUUGCAACUCGCAUUGGGUCUUACUGGAACUACUUACAGCGAGCAUGCAAAACCCCCUGCGUGUUGAUUGAGGUUCUGAGGGGGAACACUCCAUCAAGCACGUUGAAGAUAUGGUCUGUAGCAGCAUUGCUUGGAAAUUGGAAAUUGGAGAUCUGCCUAGCUAGCUACUAUUUCUGUGUCUAGCUCCUCAUGUAGUUUUCUGUUAGGUAAUUUUUUUUUUUUUUUAAAUGGAAGAACAGGCAUUUUAUUAAAUAAAAAAAAAUAUUUAGUCAUAUUUUUAGGCUUAUUAUAUUUAUACCCUACAUAUUGUUGAAUAAACCUUAUAUACUUAAUACACCUCAUAUUUACUUUUUCAAUUAAAAUUUAUCUUAAUACACCCCAUUUACUUUCCCAUAUUACCCUCCCACCCCCAUUCUCAACAUACACCUUACAUUUUCUAUAUACACCCCAAAUUUUUUAUAACUCAGUCACAAUCAAGAUUGGAGGAAGAUAAGGCUGCUGAGACUUUGUUGAAGGUGGCAGACGAGGUUAUACGCUGAGGUUUAAUGACAAAAAUUCGAGGGUAAAAGCAGCAAGGGAAAGGAGAACAAUUAGAGGGUCUCUUGUAAUGUGAAUGGCACUAGGACUUUGCCCAGAUUGGCAAAAACGUAGCUGAAUGUUGAUGUAGUUUUAUUGCAUUUUCAGAUGUAUGAAAAAAAAAAACAUAUUUAUUUAUUGGUGUUGAAUUGCAGAACAAAGAUUGUGUUUAGCCAUUUUAUUACUAUUAUCAUUUCUUUAAAUUGGGGUUAUGCCGUGAGAUGAUAUACAUAAGGAAAUAUUGUUAAUUUCUUCGCACUCCAUUCAAGUUCUAACCUUGUAGUUUCAUCAUUUUGCUUGCCUUUGCUGGGAAGACAAAAAAAAUAGAUAAAUAAUACGUUAAAAGUGAUUUGAGGUUUAUUCAGAAUUUUUUUAUAUUUUUAAAAAACUAAUAAGGUCAAAAUUGACAUUGUAUAGAGUGUAUAAGUUAUUUAAUAUCGAAUUUGAAUGUGAGGUGUAUUUAUCAGUACGGAUGUGUACAUCUUUUAUUGGCACGGAAGUACUUAUCGAUUAUGCAUUGAAUUUUUUAGUAAUUUAAUUCAAAAUGUGAAGUAGCUUUUGUAAAGUUACCGAAAGCGCCGUGACGGAGAUGAAGAUGGAAAUGGUGUAAAACUUUUGACGAGUUGAACCGAAAGCGCCGUGACGGAGAUGGAGGUGGAGAUGGAGAUGAGGGCCGGGGAAGAAAUAGAGAUAGGACAAGACAUAACGCCACCGCUCCCUCCGCUUUCUUCCUCUCUCCACCACUCCCUCCUCUCAUCUCACUGCUCUUCCUGCUUCUCCCCUCUCCCUCCCCAACCCUUCCCUCCCCUCUUUACUCCUACCUUUCCCAACACUCCCUCCUCCUACUACUGCUCCUCCCUCUGCUCCUCCGCCGAUUCUCCCCUCCACGUCUCCAGCGCCGAGCCCUACCUUCUCCUGCUUCUCCAAUCCCACCCCUCCGCCUACCCCAACGGCGACUCCUCCGACCUCCGCGCCGCCCUCCGCCUCCUCCAAUCCCUUCCCGCCACCUCCCCCUACCCUCGCGUAGCCGGCCUCCUGACGAAUCGCCACAAACUCCUCCACCACCACGACCAUAGGGUUCGCGACGGCGCCAGAGCCAUGUUCCUCGCCAGGAAGAUGCGGGAUGAAUCUCCGAAUUUCUCUAUCGAUGCGACUAUUGCCAACGUUGCUCCGCACGACGCCGUAUUGGAGGAGGCCGUGCUGUCAUUGGUGCUAACGAACGCCGUGGAGGUGCAGGAUAAGACCGGGCGCACCCUUGGAAUUUCCGUCUACGGUCCCAGCUUCUGCUGGAUCAACCACAGCUGCUCCCCGAAUGCUUGCUACCGCUUUUCUUUGAUGACACCGCCAACGCCACCUUGUUGGCCCGAAACGGCGCUGCUGCGCAUUGUCCCCUUCGGCCGCUCCUCCGGUCGUGCCACACAAGUAAUCCCUGCAAAUUUGCACCGUUUGUUUAAUUUAUAGUGGAAUAAGAUUGAAAUUCAGGGUUGUGAGAUGGAUAUUUGUUGCAGAUUGAGAAUGGUGUUUGUAGCAAUAAUGUGUUAGCAAAAGGUGUUGUGGUUUUUUUAAGUUUUCGUGCUUCUUUUCGGUUUUUGUUUGUUUGAAUUAGUACACCAAAUUUACCAGUAUUAUUGAACCAUUCGUGUAUAUUACGAAUGUAGAAAGCCGAGGUUAUGGUCCAAGAGUGACGGUUAGGAGCAUCAAGAGAAUCAAGAAAGGCGAAGAAGUGACUGUUACUUACACUGAUUUGUUGCAGCCUAAGGUAUCUGCAUUUUAUCUAUAUACACAUUAUACAUGGAUCAGCGAUUGGAAUUUUGAAUUCAUAUAAUCCACAUCUGUUUUGUCAAGUUAACUGAGCGAUGUUUCGAUGACUGUGAGAUGAGAAUUUGCUAGUGUCAUUUUCUGCUUAUUGUCCCUGUCUUAGGAAACUAAACUUGAUGAGACAAUGCAAGGCAAUCCGACUUCUUUCCACUUUAGGGAUUAGCUAAAUCUUGCCCCAUUUGACUUUUCUUUUACUUAUUUCCAAUUUUAAUUGUGUUGAUGUUAUAUUUUAAUCCCUUUCUUUUAACGUCACAUUUUCUUUUCUUCUCAUGAGCUCCUCCAGGCAAUGAGGCAGUCAGAGCUAUGGUCAAGGUAUCGGUUUAUCUGCUCUUGUACGCGAUGUAGUGCAUCACCCCUAACCUACGUGGAUCAAGCUUUGGAGGUGGCAAUUCAUGAAAACUUUUUCUUUCUUUCUUGAUAUUCUCAAUUAAAUACUAAUUCUUAAGUCUAUUUGGAGUUCUUCCGUAAUAUCUUUAUACUAUUGAUUUUACAGAAAUUAUAAAUGCACUAGGAUAUUUGUACUUCUAGAUUCUUGUUUUUGUAUCCCCCCCUGUAUAUAGUUUGGCCUUCACUUUGAACAAAAGCUCUUUUUCAACUUGAACAUGAAUUACCUCCUAACCAUUUUUCUUCCUCUCUGGCAGUCAACUUUAUUUCCUAGGAUGUAGCUAAUGUUCUUAUUGGUGUUUUUUGAAUAAUCAUUAACCUUCGGUUUCAAAACUCCAGGAAAUAUUUGCAGUCAAUUCCAACUCCUCCAGUUUGAGUUUAGAAAUAAACUUCAAUAGAGAUAAGGCAACGCAAUUGUUGAGUGUUUACUUUGAUGAUGCUAUUGACGACUACCUGUCGAGUGGCGAUCCUGAAUCUUCUUGUGAGAGGCUUGAGCAUGCGUUCACACAAGGACUCUCUGAUAUGCAAUUAGAUUGCAACGGAGAAACAUCUCAGCUGAGAUACUGGUUGCACCCAUUAAAUUACCUCUCCCUAAAUGCCUACACAACAUUGGCUUCAGCGUAUAAAAUCCGUGCAACUGACAUGAUAGCUUUAUGUUCUAAAAUGGAUGAUCAUCUGUUAAAAGCUUUGAACUUAAGCAGGACUAGUGCAGCAUACUCCUUACUACUUGCUGGUGCAACUCACCAUCUGUUCCGCUCUGAAUCGUCUCUAAUUGUAUCUGUUGCAAAUUUCUGGACAAGCGCAGGGGAGUCAUUGUUAACUCUUGCUAAAAGCUCAGUCUGGAGUGAGUUUGUCCACCGGGAUCUGCCUGUGUCAAAUCCAUGUUCCACUGCAAGUUAUAGAUGUCCAAAAUGCUCAUUGAUAGACAAAUUUGAAGCUUGUUUAUUCUAUGGUCAAGUUCAACAUGCAGAUUUUGACGAUGUCUCAAGUGAAUUCAUUGAUUGCGUCUCUAACUUUACACAGAAUGUUUGGAAUAUUUUGGCUCUCAGUUGCCAGUACCUUAGAUUGAUUAAGAGUCCUAUUGAUUUCAGUUGGCUUGGUACCACAAAAGAUUCCAGUGUAGGGGAAGUUCUGAUUCGGUCUAGUGGCACUAAAGCGGGUUCUUGUGGGACUGAGAGAAGCAUUUCUGGAAGUGAAGCAGAGGGAUACACAGCCCAGGUACGGAUAUGUAUUUUUAAGCUCGGUGUCCAUUGCUUACUAUAUGGAGGAUAUCUAGCGAGCAUAUGUUAUGGUAAUUCCCAUUUGACCUGUUAUGUUCGUAAUAUUUUAGAUAUGGAAGGGAUAUUAUUGAAUCCUUGUCAUGAACCAAAUUGAGUUUGAGAUCUUAGAAGUUAAAUUAUUCCUGUUUUGGUGUUAAUUGCUGUGUUAUUAUACUCGUUAAGAAUCUGUUAAAAAUGUUGGUUGCAUAUAUCGUCUUCUCUGCUUGUGAUUUUUCGCCUCGAACUCUAUUCGUCUUGCAUGAUGCCCCAAGGAAUCAGCCACACGUAUCAGAAGUUUGUGUCAACGGAUUCAAUUUGAUAGACUACAGUGGGUUUCAAAAUAGAAUAAUCCGCUAUAGCUGUUUCAUAUAUCAUUUCGGUUCAGUCAAAUUAAAGAACCAAAAUUGAAAUCACAAUUGGAUUCGAUUUGGAAACAUCUGAAAUACAAAAUUGAAACCACAAUCGAAUUAAAGAACAAAAAUUGUCAUCUCCUGAUGCAUCCCUGUUUCUAUUUGUGUUCGUGUUUGUGUCAAAAAUACAUCGUAAGAAUGUUAUAACAGUUGCAUACUUAAAGCGACGCCCUACUGAAUGUUACAAUAGAUGCAUACAAGACCGUCGCUAAUGUCAAUGUUUCUUCUUUUUGUUGGACUUUGAGUUGGAGCCAUGCUCAUUUUUAUGUCGCUUUUCCCCACUCUUGUGACUCUCUCUCUGUUUUCCUUUAUCCAUUUUGUUUCUACUUGAUUUCACGCUAACGAGACCACCAGCAGGUAGGUUUGCACCGCCAUUCUGUAAUGCAUUCUCAAAGUCUGCAUCUCUGUCCCCAAUCGCGUACUGUUGAAGCAACUUGGGAUCUAAUGACCCCUCCGAGUUGGAUCUCAUCCCAUCCUGUAUGUGCGUAGUCAAGUCAGCCCAACUCUUGGGAUUCAGAACGCGGGAAAGAGAGGCAGUUCAGGUAACACGAAGGUAAGGAAGGAAUAAAGCGUACCUCAACUUUUCUUGCAGCAUCAUUGAGAUCAUCAUCAACAGAGAUCUUGUGAGGUUCCAAGAGAGUCUGAACCAAAAUUUCCGAAUCAGAGUGGAGUUACAACAUAGGCAGAAGAAAAGCACAGUAGCAUACAUACACGCACGCACGCACAAUUAUAAUGUGAUAGACGAUGUUUAAGCUUGCAUUAAGAAACACAAUAAUGUAAACUUAGCGAUUACAUAUCAAACAAAAUAGUUCAGGUACCAAAGUGGCUCACGCGCAACACACAUGUCAAUAUCAUAUAGUUAAGCCAACUAGAAUCAUAAUGCAUCCUACGACAUGAAAUUAUUAGAAAGAGAUGGAAACCACCAACAUAUCAUGUACUUUCCAUAAGAAAAAAAAGGGUUACUGCUUUGCUGAACUUACUUCUUUUGGUUUAGGCAAGGUUGACACAAGGCCCUCAGAUGCAAUAGCGUAUAGAUAUUUGUGAAACUUUUUCAUAACUUUUAUAAACAGAGACAAUAUUUGCUGCCUUUCCAGUUUCAUCAACCCCUGGAAAACGUGAAUGUAAGUAAAAAUCUACACCUGAUAAGAAUGAAAUAAAGAGCAGAAAUGACGCCACCAAGUAGAGUGUUUUGUCUUUGCAAGUGGGUUUGAUUGCGUGCUCGCAUUGCAUCUAUGUGACUGGUAUAGCCAAGCAAACCAUAUGAGUAACAAGUAGAGAAACAAACCUCAAUAUAGGAGAUAUCUUGAUUCUGUAAGCCAAUGCAGAGCAAUAUGGAAGCCUGGGCACCUGUCAAUGUCACUGGAAGUUUCUCUUGGAAAUACAGAUGUGAAAGCGUUGGAACAAGAUCCAAAAUCUGUAAAAUAAAAGCAUAACUUUAACAUGUGUAAAGUUAUAAACAAACGAUAACUAGAGUACAAGAGGACCUCAGUUUAGAAAAUGACACUUAAUUUCAAAUUCAAAUGGACCCCAGGGUUUAAACUGUAAUUUUAAAAACAAUUCGCAGGUAAUUUGAAGAAAGUAAGGUCUGUUGGUUAAGGAUGAAAAUGCAAUAAGCCCUCGGAUCCCUCCUCCCCACUAUCAUCUAUGCCUAACAGGAGGAAGAACAUCUUGACACAUUCAAACUGGCAGCCUUUCCCAAAAAACAGAAGGAAGCAGAUAAUCCACUCAAACCAUAAUCAACAAAAAUGGACGACAUGCCAUUGACCAGGAUGCACUGCACCUUCCUGAGAACCGCACAACAAAUGGGUUCACCUCCCUCAGGGGCAUACCCACAAGGGGGUGGGAUUGGGUGGGAGGGGAAGAGAAGGGGUCUAAUAGCCUAAUCGCUGUUGAUUUCAUCUUUUUAUGUAACACAGAGCACGGGAUGAAACAUCGGCCACAGAAUCCUACACACAAAUUACUUGUAAAGUACACAAAUUCCCCUUCUCAAACAAGCAAUUUUGAACUUUUAAUGUGUAACUGAACAUAUAUAUACAUAUAAUUAGAUCAAUAACUAAACACAAUGUCCUAAUAGUUCACUUUUGAAAAAGAUUAUUCAUAAAACAUUGCAAGAGUAAUAUAUGUUCACAAUCAUGGUAUCAGAUUGUCCACAGUAAGAAAACAAAUAUUUCACCACUGUCAACUAAAAAUUGUAUCACAAUCACAAUCAUAUUGCCACACUGAGACGAUAAUUCUAUCACAAAGGAAUACAAUUUUUCUUUUGUAAUGCAAUAUUACUUUCUUUUUCUAAAGGAAAGCAUAUUUUGUCUUGUAACGCAAAUAUCUUUUUUGAUUCUAAGGGAAGUAUUUCUUGUUCUGUAAUGCAAACAUUACUUCUAUUUUUAAUAUGAAUGUAUGGAAUCAAUUAGUAAUCCUAAGAUAAAAAAAUCCCAAAACACUACAUAGCACUAUGACAGGGCAAGUUGGCAAUCAACCAUUGUUCAGAGAACUUACCAUAUGAAAGUCAGCAAGACUGCUGGUGUAGGCCUCCAGUCGCUUCAUAUCAUAAGGCGAAAGUAAGUCUGUGAUAGACCGUAAGAAUCCAUCUGUGGUAGACGAUUUGGGUUCUCCAUCCUUGUAAUUGAUCUUAGGAUCUAAGAUGCUGGAAAAUUAUUAGUUAGUACGAGCACUUGAACAAUAAGCAUUUAUCAGAAUGGAACUUUUAAUAGUACCUCAUAGCGAGCCUAUAAUCCAUUGUACGAAAACUAUAACCCAAUAGUCUCAAAAAUCUUCUCCUGAAAUCUAGGUAGCCAACAAAUAAUCAAGCUGUGAACUGAAAUACAAAAAAUCUGCACAAAUUUAAAUAGAACAAAGGUUUUCCAAAGAAAAAUGGGCCCACCUAGGUUGAAUGGACGAAAAUCACUGGUUUCAAGUUCAUCAUUCUUCAAAGAUUUGAGGACCAUACACGUAUGCUCCCCGGUCACACCACUCUAUUACAUUGAAAAGAAAAAUGAAAAAUUAUUGUUUAAUCAGUCAUUCAUUCACAAAUGAUAAUAUUCAAAAAAACAGUAAACGGAAAAAAGGAUUCAGUAUGGAGAGGGGAAUCCAUCUUAACUGGAAUAUGUCCAAUAUAGAAUGGAGCAAACUUAUGUUUCCACCAAAACCUGAAAAGGUCCAAGGUAAGCCCAAAGGAGACACCAAUAUAAUGGAGCUUCUCUGGUCGCCUUUCACGAAGAUGAACAAGCAAAUGAGGAAGAUCUGUUCUAGGUUUUAUACUUUCUUCCAGCAAUGAAACCUAUAAAUAAAAUAGACAUAGGUAUCAUUCCGAUAAACAAUAUCAAGGCACAGGCGGCAGGUUGAUUAAUACCAAACAAACAAACCAAUACAUGAUAAUAUACUUUGAUGUCAUUAUGAUUAAAAUUAACACAACAAAUGAUCAUUCACAAAAGUUUGUCAAAUUAUAUUCAAACACAGAAAUUGUUCUACAAUCACCGGAAUGAAGCUUAACCAACUCAAACACUUCGACAGAACAAGAAUUGCAUUACCAGAAACCUAUGAGUUACAAAAUUGCCUCCAAUUGCAAUAAUAAUACAUAGAAUAGUCUCGUAUAAGCAGUUCUCCAACCUAUUAAUUAAAAAUAUUUAUAAAAAAAAAAAAACUAAGCUUGGUGAUUGUAGUUCACCUUCUCAGCAGCUUCUGUGACUCUGAGUGGGGGAGUCUCAACAUCUUCAACGUCCAGUUCAGAAAUAGGAGCAAACUGUCCUUCGUAGUACCUGAGGAGAAAUAAACCCUUAACACCCAUUUUUUCAAAUAUAAAAACAUAAAUGUGAAGCAUCAACUUUUAGAACCAAAGAGAUUCAGUGCAAUUUUCAUGUCAAAACACUUUUAUCUCAAUAAUGAAGUACUUAUGAGUUACAUUGAUACAAGAGCAAUGCAUCCCACAUAUCACACACAUUCCUUAUAUCUGGAUCCCCAACAAUAGCAAUCCAAUGUCACCCACAUAGCACAUGAUACAUACCAGAGGUGUCCCUAGAAUGUCCACAUCAGCCAUUCCUUAUAUCUGUGUCCCCAAAAACAUUUGCAGUAAAAAGUACAUGGACUUAUGAGCACAAAGGGAUAACGGACAUGUAUGGGUUGACUUGAGAGAUAAACCAAGUAAAGUAAGUUCAAGAAAAAAUCUAGGACCAAAUAGGAUACAAGGUCAGAAUCAGUGUGACCCAUCUAAAAAGUUAGGACCCCACAUUAAUUUGUGCAGUCAACAACGAGGAUCCAUCUUUGGAUUAUUAUCCUAAAACGCUCUAUCUUUGGAUUAUAUCCUAAAGUGCUGCUGGUUAAGCUUGUUUCUGGUUUUUCUCUGUUGGAAAUUUCAAUUACUAACGAAAUAUCCAAUCUUCAUUUAAACAUACAGAUUUAAACUCAACUGUUGGCACUGCAGACUCUUGGCCAUUGUUGGGAUUGAAAUAAGCUAGAGUUUCUCAAGAUAAAUGCGGAUGAGGUGGGUUUUAUUUGAGAUAGCGAAUUCCAUGUGUUUGUGGAUUUAUUGCCAAAGCAAUUUGGGAAGAUCCCUGCUGUUUCCUCCAGAUGGAUGGGGUUAUAAUUUCAUUGUAACUUUUCUGAAGUAAGUUUUAGUUGGACUCCUUUUCUUUGCAAUGGACAACUUCUCCUCCUUUCCUUUAGAAAAUGCUUUGCUUUGCUGAAUUUUUCGUAACUCUUAGAAAUGUAACCCAAACUAAGAUGAAAACCCCCAACAUGACCGUAUUUUAAUAUGCUAUCACUUCUAAUCCUCUAUAUCUUUCCACUUGUUUCUCCAACUACCAUCAUAUGACUCGAGAGUUGUAUUGUGAGAAAGUCAUCUGUAUAUCAAAACUGAAAUCAAAUGAUCAUCUCUUCAGCACCCACAUGGUCUAUGUUCUAUAGCUUUCAACCCAAGUGAACUGAAAGCAUGAGACUCACAUUUUGAGUUGCGACUUUAUGUGCCUGAGCCAGGGUGCAUAUGCAUGAUUGCUUUUCAUUCAUUUUAGAAAUCAUUUGAAGCAUUGCUUCAGACAUAUAAUCUUCAAUCUUUUCACCUUUUUUUUUAUGACAAACAGUAGCGUUAGUGGGUUAAAAGUUUAUUUGUUAGGGGGAGGGGAAUCGAUGGGCAUCAAACCCGCACCAGGGUGCAUAUGCAUGAUUGCUUUUCAUUCAAAGUGUAGCAAUAUGGGGCUAAAAGAAUCACUCAGUCAAUCUUUCUCAACACCUUAGGCAUCCACAUACACAUUGGGAUCAUGUAUGUGAUCUACAAAAACGUUUAGGUGGGGAAUAACUCAAAGAGGAGCAUACCUUGUCAAUAGUUCCACUGCUUGUGAUCCAUAUCCAAUCUACAACAACGAAAAAUAAAUUACCAUUUCAACAGAUCCCUGGUUAUAGAUUACCAUUUCAACAAAAUCCUGGUUAUACAUAUUGCUUUGGAAACCAUAAUGAGAGAAUACCUUCAUGGCACUUGGAUGUGUAGCAAUUCGUACAAUCCGAGCACCUGAAAGACUGGGAAAAACUGUGUCCUGAAAUUGCUCACAGAAUUUCCAUGGUAUCUGGUCACCAGAAGGCUGAUGACCAUCACUUAAACUUUUCAUUGCAGAUUCACGAGAGAUCUUUCCCUCAAGGCAGACCUAAGAACAAAAUGAUAGCACAUAAAAUGUUGAGCAUCAAAGAAUUAGUGUUUUAUAGAAGAUGAAGUACGUGUUUAAAGUGUUGUCCUUUAUUGCUAUUUCACAUAAGGUAAAAUUAUAAAUAAAAAAACUAAUAAAAUUUUGGGUAUGCGUUAAAUAACUAAAAGAAAUAAUAGUCCUGAACUAGGGGAAGACAGUCAAACCUGAAUGACACACAAAAUAUCAGGAAGCUGAUUUUUUGACUCAUCAACAGGGCCUGCACGUGCAAAUUAUAAUCAAGUCCAGCCAAAUAGCGGCAAAAAAAGAAAGACCAGUUCUAACGUAACAUAUAUACCAAGUAGCACAAACAGGUGGUGAGCCGGGGCAUCAGCCAUUAGUUGCAAAUCAUUUGGAGAAUUUUUGUAGUGGGAGGCAACAUAUAGAGCCAUCAUCCGCUGCAAGUAUUAGAAUAUGUAAGUUCACUAAUAUGAAAAUGAGAAUCACUAGUCUGACAUUACUUGAACAUGUAAUUACCUGUAAGAACAACUCGCUAUCUUUAUGAUAUGAAAAAAGCGUAUCACAGUUUACGUAGUACAGAUCGCACUCACUGGGUGCAGGUAACCUAGCCGCCAAGAGAGAGAGAAGAGAGAGAGAGAUCAUUAAUAAAGGUAAGGGUUAUAAUGGAGAUGGUUACAUCUUCCUCGGUUCUGACUGUCUAAGCAAAUGUUUUUACCCGUUAAGUUUAGGGAUAUAAUUUGUGAUAUCCAAGCAAAGUAAACCAUGAAGCCAGGAUUCAAUCGGAUCACCAGAAGCAUAUCUGAUAGAUUCUUUCAAUUCUAUCUUUUUGAAAAGACGACCUACAAUCAGGGACAUUUAUCAAUUCAGAAAAUUAUGUCCAAAUAUCACAAAAUAGUUUUUAAAAAAUUAUACAUUGCUCACUUGCAAGCGCCAACAGUUCAAGUAUUUCAGAAACAAUAAUGUUAAGAGAAAGCAGAAGAAACAUUGAAUUUUGAAAAUAAAUUCAAGUUUUGGGGGGAAAGGGGGAUUUUGAUCCAACCUAAUUCAAGAUGAGAAUACAAAACACGGCCAAUAAGGAAUAAGCAUACCAGAUGUAGGCCCCUUAGCAGACACUUGGCUUUGCUCUUCCAAUUGCUGUAGAAGUUUUAGGGACAAAGACCGACCAGUACCUUCAUAGCUUUCAGUGUAAAAUAAAUGUCCUUUAGUAUUUAAAUUGCACUUAGAUUUUUUUUUUUUUACCAAAAGUUGAAUUCAGAGUUGACUUAUAAAUAGAAAGACAUCAAGCAUGAGUCAAGGAAAAGUGGAAACAGCCCAUGAAAAGUGAAAGAUCUUUCAUUCCCCCCCGCGGCCGUAACAGAAAGUGAAAAAGUGAAGUGAAAUAUGUUUCAUGAGACUGUUAAAACCAAAAAAGAACACAUGAUAAGAAUACACGACAUGAAGGAAGAAGAACAUGGAUGAAUCUUACCCAUUAACAGUAGAUGAAAGGAAGACCAGAUAAGGACCAAGCAAAGACUUCACUACUGGUAGUGGAAUAGCAGCUGCUUCAUCAACAACCAACAGUUCAACUUGGGAAAGCUUUUCAUGCUCAUGUGGCCGUAUAUACUGCAAGUACAAGUAACAAAAGUAAAAAACAAAUAGCCCCAAAAGCAAUGAGCAGUACAAAGUUCUUUCUUUUAGGCUACAUGAGGUGUAAAGGUCUAGACCACCUCACAAUCUCACAGGCAUGUUGAGUGCCUCUAUACCAUACAUACUGGAUUAGUGCCAGGAAGACACAUUAGGUUGACCAAAAAGUUUGGCGUUUCAGGAACAUGCUUUUAGAAGCAAGCUUCAGUAAUCACAAACCAUCUAAAUUAUGUUCAAUAUGCUCACACCAAUAACAAAAAUGAUGCACUUGGGCAAAAGUACAAUAGAAUUUUUGGAGUAGUCAAACAAAGACAACCACUAAUCAUAUAUGAGGGCAUACGACAUUUGAUGGGCAAAAGGUGAACACACUCAUGGCUAUUGUGAUGCGGCUAUCCAAUAGAAGAAUAUUCUCUAUUACAACUUGGUUAUCAACUUUUCAUGAGUAACAAUUCCUCCAUGUAUUUGUAUUUUGGUAUCAACUGACUAAACAAAAUCUUUAUUGCUAUUUUUUUAUAGAAAACGAGAUUUUAUUAAACAGCUAAAAAACAAUACAACACUUAGUGGACUAGGAAGUCCACCAUCAAAACGAAACAGCCCUGACAUAUGCCUCAACAUUCACCUCCAUCAUUAUAAAACAGAUCUGCAACUAUCUCACUGCAACUCCCCAAUCCAACAAAAUUACAUAAAAUGAAAGAUCCCAAAACCUUGGAGAGAGAGAAGCCAUAAGAAUGCCCAAUUCUUUCCCAAGAAUUCUCUUGUAAAUCCCCACUCUAAUUUUCAAAGGUUGCAAACUUGAAAUUAACAUAGAAGGUAACUGGCUUCAGAGUCAACUAGGAUAAUACUGGGCAUAUAUGCAGAGAGUAGGCAUAGUAGCAACUUUCAGGGUAUGGAAUAAUACAAAAGGAAAGGGAAGACCACAGAAUUCUCUCAGUCAUCUUAACUUGAUUUGGUACUAAGAAUAAGUUAUGUAUACACUUCCCACUGGCCCAUCUGUACGUUAAUAUAGAAAUAGAUUAUAUCCUGGCAACAAGGAAGUGAAAUACUCCUAUUUUUAUAUCAAUAUUGGGCACAAAUUAAGAGUUCAUCAAUAUAAUUUUACCUCAAUUGUAACCAACUGUGCAUAUAAGUUUACCUGAAUUGUUUGUCUGUGCUGCUUGUAUAUAUUGAUCUGUACAGUUGCUUUCUUCAACAAAGGGUCACUACUUUUCUGUACAUCAUAAUCUAUAUGUUCCUGCAAACAUAGUUUACAACUGUAAGCUCAAUAACUAGUGCACUGUUCGAAGUACAUGAUUGAAAAAUGAAGAAAACGGAGUGACCUUAUAACAAUUAAUGAAAGAUAAAAUGUAGUUCACAGAAUAAAACAUUCAAACACCACCAUCUUGAUAGUUAAACAAUUUCACUGUAAAAGCUAUUAAACUUAGCAGGAAAAAAAAUUUAAACUUUAUCUAACAUUUGAAUCUACAAUUUUCAAUUAGCAACUCUUGUCACAAAUGUUUAUUAGUGGGGUACGUUCUAAGAUAUUGUUAUUUGCUAAUUGUCGAGGAUUAUUUGGGAGUUAAAUCUCACAAGAAGGCGUAAAGAUCACAUUAGAAUUAGAUAUUUUACUAGGAAGCUAAAGAUCACAUUAGAACCACCCGCAGGAAUACAAAAAAACGACAUACCUUAUAGUCCAGUUGAUCAAAACCCUUGCAAACAAAUUCGAACAAGGUUCUUAAGUUCUCAGGGCUGGGUGCAGUUACAAAUAUAUUUGAAUACCUGUGAAGAUAUAUUUGUAUCGUCAAAACAUAGUACAUGAAUAUGAGUGUAGACAGCUACACAUACACCAAAACAGUUUUAAUACAUUGUAAAAGGCAUACUACCCUGCAGCAAUAGCUCCGGAAAUUGCCAAACCAAGUGCAGCCGAUUUUCCACGGCCUCGAGCAGCAAGCAAGGCAACAGUACUUCGGAGUGUCUUGUCCAAGAUUGCAUCAAGAAAUGUAGCAACAGCAUUUCCCUGUUGAAACAUUUACCAACUCAAACUAUGAGUCAUAUUAGUAAAUCACACAUGAUAGAAAAACUCAAAACUAAUACAAAUCAGAGAGAGUGCCUACCUGGUCCAACGUACAACAUUUCUUUAUUAAAGGGCCAACAGGAAAGGCAUCACUCAGCUGCUCUUUUAGAUCCUUCAGUUCCCUUUGUGACUCUGAUAUCCCUUCAGAGUCCUUCAAUCAUGAUCAGAAAACAAGAAAAAAGUUAUCAAAGUUAUCAAAGCUUCACAAACUCCUAGAAAGUAUCCUAAUAACCAUUCGGUAUACACACACUUGAAAAAUUACUUUUAUUCUUUUUGUCAUCUCGCAUAAGAUGCCACGAAAAUAAAGCAUUCCUCGAUUUAUCAGUUCCGUCCUAUAGAAAAGUUACAAGGCUAAAAGGUUACCUCUUUCACUGGAACUGGGGUAAUUGACCUCAUAUGAGAUGAAAUUGGUAAAAUAUUCAGCUCAUCAUCCAUUACUACACAUGAUUUGCAUGACGCAAGUGACAAUAAGAAACGCUCGUUAAAACGUCCAGUAGCCUUAGAAUGGGAUUCAGUUCGAAACCUAUCAUGAACAUCCUGAAAUCAAGAGGCGCUGAUAAGACUGUAUGGAGAUUUUUGCAUUUGAGAGAACGAGAAAGACAGUGUUGCAAAUAAAACAUGACAUAACGGAAUUGUUAUCAAAUAUAAUAUGUGGUGCAUGGCUAUUGCUAUAUUCGUUCUAAGUCCAUAAUGUAGUAAAACUAGAAACUACCUCAACAAGAAGAACAAAUAUUAUGAGGAAACCUAGUUGUUUUUUCUUCUUCUUUUUGGGGCUAGAACAUGAAAAGAAACAACUAGUCUACAUAGGCCCAACUGGGAAACUUAUAUGUUCAGCAGCAUUCUCUUAAAGAAAGUCAAGCAAUUGAAUCUACCAAAAGUCUUCUUGUAGCCAAGCACAUCAUUACGAAAAAAUUCGGAAACUUUUAACAUGGCUAGUUUUCAAGAUUUUGCGGUAUAUAAUAAGCAUAACCAUGCUGGCCUAAAAACUAAGCAUUAAUUGUGUGCAUGCGUAAGAGAAAGAGGUAUUAUUAUAUGCAUACCAUAACCAUGGUGUAGAGGUUGGUGAGUGAGGUUAGAGAAUGAAGCAACAAUAUGACUAGUCCACCUCCCUCCACUGUCUCUAUCGUUCUUGCUAGUAGAUUUGGAGUCAAGGCCUCAAAAUCCUAAUGCAGGAGAUCAAACUUAGUCAUAAAACUUAAAUCAAUUAUACAAGGGGUCUUGGCCAAACCAGUAAAUUUGUAAGUUUCAAGUUACCUGAAGUAUACACAUUCCAAAGGUAUUACCAAGAACUCUUUCUGAAUCCUUGUACAAGCAAUAAGUCAAUCCCCCACUUUCAACAAAAAGUGAGAAAGGAUCAACCUUCUCGGGAUCAAGCAGCCCCCUCUGCAUCAUCUUUUUUACUUGCUUAGCACGUUUUUUCUUGUGACUGCAUCAUGAAGUAGUCAAACGCAACGAAUCAAUAUAUUUUAAAAACGAAAUUCCGCCUUGCCUUAUAAUAAGGUGAAGAAUGGAAGGUAGAAGAAAUCAACCUGCUGAGCUCGAGCUUGUCCUUGUAGCACCACAACACAGUCGGGCGCGAUUUCUUUACUUCAUUGCUUAGCAUAUAAUGAAGAUUCACAAUCUGAAGACCAUAUAAAACUCCAUAUUAGCCAUUUUCCGUUAGUUUUCGAUAGAUUUUCGAUGAUAUUUCUUACCUUGUUUGAGGUUUUUAGUGUUACUCGGUGAGUAUUGCAGGUGAAAACAAGAAACAGUAAAACUGGUAAAAUUUUCUACCCAAUUCAAUUUAAAUCAUUGUUAUAACUCCUCAAAUUGAAUAGGAAUAGCAAAUAGGGAAUGGGAUAGGAAAGGCAGAAGAAAUUAGGAGUACCUGGUCACGGGAUUUGUCGCCGACGAUGACGAACAUGGAGCGGUGCCGGUUUUUGACGCCAUUGCUUAUUAGGGUUCGGAUUCGUUCGUCCACCUUCUUCCUCAUUCUCUCUCUCUCUUCUCUCUCUGUGCAAUUAGGUUUAGGGUUUAUACCAUAGGGCAGUUGUCGUCGUCGGGCAGGGUUUAAGCCGAACUAGUGAGAGAGAGACUAGACAUCGCGGAGAGAUAUUGAGUUCAUCUCAACCGUUGAUUGGCUAUCUGAUGGCUGUUAUCAAAGCUGACAUAAAAAUGAAAACUCAACACGUGGCCAAGUAUUUUUUUUCUCUCUUUUUUGGCUUAUUUAUUGAUUUGCCCCAGAAAUUAUUUUUUUUGUCUUACUCUAGGUCAUGAAACAGAAUUUAUCUUACUUUAUCUUCUAAAACUACCAAAAUCGAGUCAUUUCACCCAUGUUUUGUCAAUUCUAUCUCAUAAACGUUAAAUAAAAGGGAGUCUAAACAUUUCAUACCAUGCUAGCAAAGAUGAGCCACUGUUGUUGGUGAGGUACGAAAUUUUCAAACUUUCCUAAACCUUUAAAACUUAAAAGGUAUCUUGAAUAUGAACGUAAAUGAGGUAAAGUUGCUCAAUUUUGGCAAUUUAUGAAGGGUAAAAUGAGACAAAUUCAAUUUAAGGCUAAAGUGAGAGUAAAUGGCAGUUUCAUGAGAUAUAUCAAUAAAUAAAUCUUUUCUAGAAUACAACUAAAUUAUGUACUCACGGUAAAAGAUAAAUUAAUAUCGAACUUGUCAUUGACGAUAUCUAAACAUAAAACCUUUCAAGUUUUUACCUAUAAGAAUAAAUUUGGUAUAGUAAUUUCUUUUCUAAUUUAAAGUUUCCCAUAGAGUUAUGACGAAUUUGAUACCAAAUUAGGCUGUCAUUGUGUGGCAUAGCCGAAUUCCUCCUCCCUUACUUUAAAAAUAACGAUGUACUCAAAAAAAGUUUCCCAUAGAGUUAAAAUGAUCUUUAGUUGCUUGCUGAGACAACCCAUAUGUAUAAUAAGACAUUGAAAAAGGUGCCUCUGUCAUUUACACUCACACGAUCGAAUAAGUAGCUCCGACAGUUGCAUCAUAAAAUUAAGGGGUUUUCCGAGAUUGUAGUAAGGUUGACGAUUAAAGUUUGGGAAAUUUUCAGGUUAAGGAAUCAAGGGAUCACAUUUUCAAGUUUCGUAGGCAUUCUCUUUCCUUUGGAAUGGUGUUGGAAUCCGUCCUGAAGUUGCCCAUUCCUUUGCUCUUGAUUUUCAGAGUUGGAUAGCUAUAAACCUUAGGACACAUUGUACCACCAUACAUGGUUUACCUUGGAACCUUAUCUUUAAUUCAACUCUCUGGCAUUGCUGGAAAUGGAGGAAUAACUUUGUCUUCAAUGAUGGCCAACAACCGCUUGACUCACCCCAGAAUUUCAUUUUUCAAUUUGCAAGGGAAUGGUGUGAUGCGAACAAGUGUUCUUCUAGUAAGCCUCCUAGACAAAAUCAUCUCAAUCCAUUGGAUUCGUUUGCCAAUUGGUAUACAAAAUCAAUACAGAUGGGAGUUGUAAAGACCCAUUUAGCCACAUAAGUGCUGGAGGUUUGCUUCGUAAUUCUGAAGGGAAAUGGAUUAAGGGAUUUGCUGCUAAUUUGGGCAGAGGAACCAUCAUGGAAGGUGAGCUUUAAGGGUGGUUUCAUGGGACUUUCUAUAGGUUGGGAUGAGAGUUGCAAGGAAGUGAUUAUUGAAUGUGAUUCUUAUGCUGCUGUUACUUUGAUCCAACAACCUAUUUUAGUUCCCACUCUACAAUCUCAUUAUUGACUGCAAAGAAGCCAUUGAAAGAAAUUGAAGAUGUGAAGUUACUCAUAUCUAUAGAGAAAAUAAUGUCUUAGCUAAUCACACGUCUGACUUAGGUCAUGGGUUAUCACUUGGUCUUCAUGUUUUUGCUUCUCCUUCUACCAUUGCUACUAAUUUUAUAGUUUCUAAUACUAUUGGCAGGGCCCUCCCUAGAGCUGUUUUUUAGUAGCUUUUUUGUUUUGCUUGUUGGGCUUUGCCCUCUUCUGUACCCAAAAAAAAAAAAAAAAAAAAAAAUAUUGGGAAAUUUAUUUGGACCCAACUUUUUUAUCUCUACACCCAAAUAAUAUUUUCUCUUAUCUAAUCUUCCAAAUUUGUCCUUAAAUAACAAACAUUGAAGUUUUCUUUGUAUCUCUACACCCAAACCCCACGAUCCACCACUGUAGGGCGCUCCAUUAUUUCCGACAAACCCAACUCAAACGCCAGCAACACUAAAAUCGACAAAUCAAGACUGGAGAACAAAUGGUGUAGGAGUCCUAAUGUGAAUAUUAAAGCAAACUUAAGUUGCAAAACCCUUUUUUAUUUCAAUCGAUGAAAGGACCUUGGGUUAUGAACAUAAGGAACCUAUUAGGGUUUAGAGGUCCCCUCCACAUCAUAUGCAUAAGCCCUUUUUCUUCAUUCAUUAAUUUACGGAAGGGAAAAUUAAUACUAUUAUUCUCAUAAAAAGUGGGAAUACCAAGGAAAGAGAUCCUCUCCACACCAUAUAUUUUUCUUUUCUGAGUAGUUAUAUCCAAUGGAGAGAGGAAAACAAGAGCACCAAUGGUCGCAGGUUCACCGGAGAAAAUGAAGGUGCAGUGGUGAUGUGAGUUUAGGGUUAUUGGGUGUAAAGAUAACAACUUUAAUAUUUAUUUUCUCAUUUUUAUUUAUUUAAGGGCAAAUUUGAAAGUUUAGUAGAGAAAAUUUGUUAGUUGGGUGUAGAGAUAAAAAGGUUGGGUCCAACAAAAUUUCUCAUAAAGUUUAAUCACGCGAUUAAGUUCUUGUGCAAUGAGUAAAUUGUAGCAAUGACCCAUCAACUAAAAAUCCAUUAUUAUUGAUCCCUCAACUCAUCAAAAUAUGUAGUUAUGGUCAUUUUCGUCAACUUUGUAAGAAUUUUGUCAAAAUAAAUUAUGUUGGAAGGACCAUUGUUACAAUUAAGGUCCUUCAACUCAUCAAAACAUGUAGCUAUGGUCAUUUUCGUCAACUUUGUCAAAAUGAGUUAUGUUGGCAUGACCAUUAUUGCAAUUGGGUUAAAGUUGAGGAAUCAUUGCUCCAAUUGGGUUAAAGUUGAGGGAUCAUUUCUCUAGUUAGAUUAAAGUUGGGGGACCAAUGAUAAUUAAGUUUUAGUUAAGGGAUCAUAGUUGCACGUUUUGAUGAGUUGAGAGAUCAAUGAUAAUGAAUUUUUAGUUAAUGGAUCAUUACUCCAAUUGAGUUAAAAAUAAAGGACCAUUGCUACAAUUUACUCUUGUGCAAUAGAAGAUUAAUUUGGCCGAACAACCUGAUUAAGGUGCCUACUUUCUCUUUAAUUCAUUGGUAUCAUUUAUUUUCCCUUAAGCUGAAUUAUGCUCAAUUUAUGUAUCAAUAUUGUAAAGUUGUCUUUGUUAGAGUAAUUUGGACAAUAUAAAUUGAAAAUUAUUUGUGUAUAUGGAAAAGAUUAACCUCAGGGGUCACUUCGCCGGACUCCGUAGCAAUCUCCACCACUCCAAUCGUAAUGGUGAGUAAAUCACUUGUGUUUGUUUCCAUUUUUUCAAUUGGAAAUUGGGGGUUUUGAAUUCAUAUUUUGUCAAUUGGUUUUGUGAGCACUGAGAAUACACUACGAGCUUGUGUGUGUGUACAAUAUGUUGGAUUUGAUCUUUAUAAAGAAUGCGAGAAAUUGGGGUUAGGAAAGAGAAGAAAAGGAAACAGAACUCGAACUUCGAUCUUCAUUCUUGUUACUAAAGGAGAAAACCGAAUUUGAACCGGUUCAUACGUAAUCGAACCGAAUUUGUAUAGUUCGGUUCACCCCUUAGUACCGAACCGUACCAUACCAAAAAAAAUUUCUUGAGUUUGGUUUUGAUACAUCCCUCAUACUGUACCAUACCAAAUCGUGGCCAGACCUACUGAAUACAAAACUUAUAUCUGGGUCGUAAGUCGUAAGGCCUCCAAAAAAAAAGUUCAUAUUAUUCAUACCAAUCGGACAAAUCCCGCACCCAAAAACAAUGGCUAGAUAGAAAGUUCAAUUAUAGAUUAGGUAAUCUAUCCUUUUCAACUUAAAUGCACAUUCAUGAUGGUUAUGCAAAUCAUAUUAUGUUAACAAAUGCAACAAUUAAUUAUAUUUAUCCAUUUGGAAUGAUAUAUAUUUUCAAAGAUGGAAUUACAGACCCCGUUGACGUUGAGGCCAUUGCAUGAGAGAAUUUUAGAUGAUUUUCAAUUAAUUUAUAUUAUUGUUGUGAUAACCAUAAUAAUUAUUUUCUAAAUGUAAAACUAUAUUAAUGAAAUUUUCUUUGUCGGUCAAAAGAAGAUGAAAAGAUAUCUUUAUCUUCUAUCACAACAAAAAAAUUAAGGAUAUUAAUGUAAUAGGCUAAUAGCGAUGGGGUGAAGAAAUGGAACUAUCCUAAAUAGGCAGUUGCUGGUUAUAUUGGAUCAGGUGGUCUGAAUGAUUGGAUAAUUAGCAAAUAAAAAGGUUCCAUUUUUCAUGGACCCUCAAGUGGAAAUAUGGGAUAAAAGAUGGCAUAUACCAUUUUAUCCAUUUGUGAUUGUACAUUUUGAUGGUUGUGAUUUCACCCGAUGGCGCGGCAAGUGUGGAUUGGGAUAAGGAUGGUUUUGGUCUAUCAUCAAAGAUGGUUUGAUGUUCACGACUGGAUUUUACAACGCAUCCAAGUGCAUGGGUUCUAUAAAUACAGAGUUGCGCACAAUAAAAAAGUACAAAGGACCUUCAAACCUUUCACACACUCUGAGAAACUCCUGAUUCUCCCAACUUCGUCAACACAUCUUCAAUUUGGAUUAACAUCACUGUUUGUCAGUGAGGAGUCCUUAGUCUUCUCGUCUCAUUAGCCCUCUAGGUGAAGUGAGGUGUUACUGAAUUACUUGAGUAUUCAGCACAUUGAAAGUCGAACCUUAUUUGAACUUCACAGUAGUUAGCAAUCUUAUCUUCAGGUUUUAGAACCCAAUGCCAAGACAUAUUCCUUCCUCGACAGUGAUGGUUUGUACACAAAAGUUGGUUUGUACACAUAAGUCAGUAUUGUGUUUGACACACCAUCCCAUUCAUUCUACUAGCCCACAAACGCGUGGACUCGUCCAAAAUUACCCCACUCUCGGCCCGUUCACUUGCCCACUCGUCCCACGCGGCCCGUGAGUCUUCAGUGCCUGAUAGGGGGGCCUACUGUUAGGGCCGUUGUUGGCCACAACCCAGAGCCCAACGAUUUUUUUUUGCAUCCCACGACUGGCAUUUUUGGACCGUUGGUUGAUCCAACGGUCCAGAUUCAAAUUUUGUUUUUUUAAAUGUUAUUUUAAAAUACAUUGAAUCCAACGGCUGAGAUCGAAUAUAAUCAAAUCUAACGGUAAAAUAAAAAAAGAUAAAAAAAGAUAUAACAGUCCAAAUUUAAAUCCAACAGCUAAAAUAAUUUUAAAAAAAAUUAUUUAACUCAAAAUUCACCCAAAAACUCUAUAAAUACCUUUGUAUUUGUUCAAACAUCCACACAAAACUCAAUUUUCUCCCACAAUUCUUCCAUUUUUUCUUUCUACCAUUUCUUUCCAUUUCCAAAUUGUUCAACACGAUCCUUGAAUUGGCCAUCCCAAGCAGUAAGACAAUUCUUCCACUCCCAAAGCAUACAAUCGAGACUUCCUAUCAUGUCAGGAAAGCCUAUUUUGUCUGCUUUGAGUAGAAUGUGACGACAUGUCCCGAAUUAUUAUAUAUUUUUCUCCCUAAGUGUGUAAAGUGACGGUAAUGCCCUCGUGAUUUAGUGACGUGGAUGUACAUAUGUAGUUUUAAAUUAUUAUUUCUAUUGUCGUAGUUAAAUUGUACUCGACGCCAUGAGUGUGUUGAUGUGACCUAGGGCUAAAACAAAUUCGUAACGAAGAAGUUACGAACAGACGAGUGUGUAAAUGCGUAGAAAUAUAUUUUUAUGGGUUGGCUAUACCUUACCCACCAAUCACCUUAAUUCCUGAUUUCUUUGGCCUAAUUGAAUUAAAAAUAUCUCUCAUUUUUCCUUCUGCCCAAUCACGCACAUACACACCAUCACUCUCUCUCUUCUCUCGGACCUUCUUCUUCUUUCUUCUCAUUCCGUACACCCGAGCCACCCUUACCUCACAAUCAUCAUCAAAACAUUAUGGAUCGAAUUGGAAAUCACUACCAUCGCAGUCACCUCGAUCCCACGAACUCAUUGAUACCCUUAGGUCGAGGAAUAGACGUCGGGAAUUCGAGAACUCGGGAGCUCUGGCGAGGUGUAUUUUUCUACUUUGUGAUCGUGGUCUUUUUCUAUGGUUUAAAGGCUUGAGGUGGGUCCUAAUCAACUUUAUAGGGACCCUAGAUUAGUUUUGGAGCAGUUUGAACGUUGGAAUAGGUGAGAACAUGGAGUUGCAGGUUGGCCGGUUGAUCCAAGCCUUACUCCGACCACUUUCUGUCGGUUUUAGAACCUCAAGUAGGUAAGAUUGUAUUCUUCUAGUUGAGAGUUUCAAAUCCAUAUAAAAUUCAUGGAAUUUGGUUGAAAAAUGAUGAAGAUAUUAAAGUUUUAAGAUUUUUCCAAAAAUCAGCGACACAAACGGCGCCCGACGGCCAGCGAUGGAUUCCGACAAAGCCAUCGGAGAAGGAGGAGAAUAUUAUGUCUAACUUUGACAGAAUAUACUAACAGCGUCAGGUAACUCUAUUAGUUUUUAAACAAAAUAUUCUACUAUUUAAUGAAAUAUUCCCUAACGCCGUUAGGGAUUCCGUGCCUGCACGUGCCGGCUUAUGAGGGCGCGUGAGACGUCAGGAAAUUAAUCUAAAAAUAUUGGGGUGUUCGAGUUGUUGAGUAGGUCAUGUUGGUAUAUUCAAACACCCUAUUUGAGCAACGUAUGAGAAGUUAUUCCUAGGGUUUGUGUAUGUGCCUUAAAAUUAAUGUAAAAUUAGUUAUUUCGCAUAUAGGUGAGACUUACCCGGAGGACAAACGUGGUCAAACGAGACUUGGGGGCUACGAUCCUACUACUUACCAGUGAGCGGGCUUUUUUUUUCUAUAUAUAUGUAAAUAUGCUUAUGAAUCCCAUAAACUACUUUAAAUGAACGUAUGUUUUAAAUGCCAUGUCGUGUGCAUUAUGUGUUAGUAUUGCAUUAGUAUAGCUAUGCAUAGUAUUGGAUGAGACUGCGCAGACUCAGGUAAGUUUCAGGUGAGUACAUCAUGAUGGUAUUGGGUGCGUGUGUGUGGUUAUACGUUGAUGCAUUUUGAGCUUAUUAUCCUGCACAUUGGUGUUAGUGUUCUCGCCCAUGGCCAGGGCAUAGUUUUUCACAUGAUGUUCACCUCCUGGGCCGCACGCUCACUUUGGAUCCAAGUUUGGUGCACAGCCAUAUUGCACAGACCACAAUAGGUGGUUCCGACUCGUAGGUGACCUGCAAUUAUUUGCACAGCCUUCACGUGAUCGUAGCACUUAAGCGUACUUAUCUACACCCAGCCCUGUUGUACAGACCACAAUAGGUGGUUCCGACUUAUGUGCAUGCAUACUUGAUGAGCUAUAGAUUCAAUUGUACAGGUUACAUUAGGUGACUCCGGUUGGCAUACUAUUUUAGGUUGAUUCGUAUCACCUGGCUUACACAUUUUAUGGUUGAACAUCUUGACAUGGCAUACCUCUGUUUUCACUGCUCUAAGCAUUAUCCUUAUGUACCUAGUUGUUAUUAUUUUCUGGAAAAUUAUAUGGGUUUACAGUGAGGGGUUAGUAUGUUCAUAAAGACAACUGUGUUUUCAAAAACUUUGUUUUUGCCUACUCACAUUUUUUGUUUUGCACCCUUUCAGGUUCUAGGUAGUUGGUCAUCCUUGGUGGCUCACGAGGACUUUCACGGCGGUUCUGACAUCUCUGUAAAUAAGUAGGGAUUUUUUUCCCUGUUUGUAUAAUUAGUACUUAGUUGGUUCGAUUGCACUUUCGUUUACCCAUGCUCUGAUAUUUGUAUAACUUGCUUGGUCAUCUUUACUCACUUAUAUUAUCUUAGUUUAGAUAAGUUUGGUUUUAGGUUUUUAUUUAUUCGCAUUUCUUUUAUUAUUACUUCUGUUGCGCAUUUUGGCUACGUUACUCUUACGUGACGGGCAUCAUGUUUCGACUUCGGUUGGGGUGUGUCAUAAAAGCCUCUUCAAGUCUUCAUGAUUUGGCUUGCAGAGAUAUGUGGCUCCAUAUGUGGCCUGAAUUGCCCCACAGAAGCGCUCCAGGUUUUUAAUAGCAGUAGUCUCCGCAAGUCGGCAAUACUCAUCAGUUGAGUUUGCAGAGCACUCAUUAGCUAGCAUCCGAAAUGCAGAUGUGAGCUUCUGAUGAGGUGAUAGACUUUGUCGGCCUACGACAUUUAUCUUCCUUGCAAAGUAGUGGUCAUGAUUGACAACUGUGUUCAAGAUGCUUUCAAAAAUCUCUCUCCUCAUUCGAAACCGUCUCCGAAAAUCAUGAGCAGGAAAUCUCGGACGCUCAAUAAAAUAAUAUUUCAUCAUUCGGUCAUGACACUCUUCUCUAUCACGUUGCACAAAUGAACGCUUCGUGACAUAACCACAAUAGCUAGAUUCGACAUGGUGCUCAUAUUGCAUAAGCGAGUUUGGAAGUUUAGCUUAUGCGUUGAUCAUUUUUGAAUCCUCAAUGUCAAGGCUUGCUUGGUAUUAUGUCAUUUGCAUUGCCCUGCUACACCUUCUUCUAUCAUCCAUUGUUGAUAUAUUGAGGAUUUUUAUGAAACAAAAACACUUUGAAAGUUGAAAGAUUAGUGAAUAUAGGGAAUGAUUGAAGGUUGAAAGAUUGUGUGACCAACUGAUAUUGAACAUGUGUUUAUAUAGAGGAUGAUUGAUGAAAGUUGAAAGUUUGGUGAAAGUUGAACGGUUGGUGAAAGUUGAAGAUUUGUGAAAGUUAAAGACUUGCUUUGUGGAAAGAUUUAGUGAUUUUUUCAAUAUUUAUUGGAAUUUAAAUAUUUUUAUAUUAAAAUGUUCAUAAAAUUAAUUUACCAUAGGCUACAUAAUUUUUUUUAAAAGUUAAUUUAAGAAAAAAAAUUAGCCUAAGUUCAUUCUUUAAUAAUCCCGAACUAAAAUUUUAGGCUAGGGUUGGAGCAGAAAAACUGUUUCUGUGUUAAAAGCUAAAUUUUUUAGAUUAAAAAUUUUAAAUUUUAACCCAAAGGUUGGAGAUGAUUUAAGAAUGGAUAAACUUAACCAAGAAAAGAAGAAAAAAGAUGAAGGGCAAAUAAGUGAGAAGCAACAUGACACGACACACGGACGACCAUAGCAAUAAAGCGUGCGUCCUCACGUCCAUUGAAUAUAUAGAUGGGAGCUACAACAUCGUGUUUCACGUGCAUGUGUAUUAUACAUAAAGGCAUAUACAGUGUUAGCUUAUAUAUUAUAAAGUUUGUAGGCCACUUACCCAAUUUGGCAUAUGUUUUAUCUUUUUACGUGAAUAACCAAUGUGUUAUGAUGAUACAAGUCUCUUAACAUAUCCGGAGUUAGAAAUAUCAUAAGACAGUGUUGCGAUCAUAUUGAAAUUAAUUGACAGUUUGUAUUAUAUAUUUGAUUAUUCUUUAUUAACUUAAGGAGACAGCAUACUUAGACCUAAUUUAGUCACAUUCUCCAACCGAAAAUAAAGCGGUGUAGUAUUCAUACACUUUUUUUUAUUUCUUACACAGUCUUAAUUAAUUUCUAUUGUUUGAUCUUCUUCAAUUCAUUCGAUCUGACGACCGAAAAUUAAGAUGGUGUGUGGACGAGUAAAUUAUAACAAUGGUCCCUCAACUUUAAUCAAAUUGGAGCAAGGGUGCUCAACUAAAAAUCCAUUACCAUUGGUUCCUCAACUCAUCAAAAUGUGUAGCUAUGGUCAUUUUCGUCAACUUCGUUACAAUUUUGUCAAAAUAAGUUAUAUUGGAAUGACUAUUGCUACAAUUGGGGUCCCUCAACUCAUCAAAACGUGUAGCUAUGGUCAUUUUCAUCAAUUUCGUUAGAAUUUUAUCAAAAUGAGUUUUGUUGGAAUGACCAUUGCUACAAUUGAAUUAAAGUUGAGGGACUAUUAUUUCAAUUGAGUUAAAGUUGAAAGAUCAUUUCUUCAGUUGUAUUAAAGUUGAAGGAUCAAUGGUAAUGAAUUUUUAGUUGAGGGGACUAUAGCUGCACGUUUUAAUGAGUUGAGAGAACAAUAAUAAUGAAUUUUUAGUUGAAAAACUAUUACUUCAAUUGAGUUAAAAUUAAGAAACAAUUGCUACAAUUUUUUUAUAUGGAAAGUGGAUGAUGUGAAUAGCACAUCCAAAAAUAAAAGGGAACUUUAACGAAAAGCACCCGGUACUGUUCACUUUAACGAAAAACCACAUUUUUACACUAAAAAGUCAAUCCUGGUACUAUUCACUUUACCCUUUAUUUUGUCCUUAUCAUUAAAACUCAAAGUUUUCAAGCCCUUUUCAUUAGUUUUCCUAAAAUAAAAUGCACCACAAUUUGGUAGGAUCUUCCUGUUGAGAGUAAUAAAUUAAUAAUUGCCGAAAUAUUGGAUAAUUUGUCGGCCACAACGCUAUGAGGGAGUAUCUGGGGAUGAAUAUACUCUUGCCGACAGAUGCCCAAAUUCCAACUGCCAUUCAAAUGAGCCCUCCACCACCACCGGCCAUAAUAAAUUCUCUUUCUUUAGUGAAGAAGAAAAAGAGGUACUUGGCCCUCACCUCAACUUUUUGAGAAAGAACAAGUUUAUCGCUAUCAGAAUGUUUCGGUCAAUUAUAUAAGUUAUGUGUAAAUUUUUCUUUAGAUAACAUUACAUUAUUAUAUUUAAAAUGUUCCGUAACGAUAAAUUUGUUUCAUACAAAUUAUUCUCCAACUUCUUGGAUUUUUCUCCUUUUUCCCGAAAACCAGCUUAUAUUAGUGUUCAUCCUCUGUCAAUAUCACUCGCCCACAACUAUUCAACUAACUUUUAAUAAUUUGACAACGUGUCAUAUUUUUGUGCAAAGCGGGCCCAUUUUUGUGGGUGAUAUAAUAAUGGCGUAUGUGGUUUGUCAAGACAUAUACUCAUUUAUCCAUUAGCAGUUAGGUAAGUCACCUCACUCACCCACAGCCUAACACAUCAACAAAUAUUGCUUACAAAUUCUAGAAAAUUCGACCAAGAAAAAAAACCAAAUGCUCGCAAAUUAAAAUUGUGUAACAUGAUUAGUUUUUUAUCCAUUAGUAUUAAUUUUACGUUGGAAGAAAUUCCAAAUUUAUUCUUGUAAAGAGGGAUAUGAAAAUACUUUGUAUGUCUAUCACCAAAAUCUUCGAAUGUUUGAAUGGUUGAUUUUCAAGUCUCACACAAUUGGAUUUAGUUCAAGUGAGAAAGAAAUACACUCAAACUAUUAGAUAUGAGGAAUGAAAAUACACUACAAAAUCUUGUGAACAUUUCUAAUAUUCUCUUCUAUCUACUUUUUGUGAACCAAGUUUUUAUUUGUUUUUUUUUUUAACAAAAGAUAUUUUUUAUACUAGGGAAAUAAGGUGGGUUUAGCCUCAUAAUGGGCUAACAUAAUCUAGUUCAAACUUGCAUUUGGUGAGAAUCGAACCUAAAAUCUCUCACUUACAAGUGAAGAGGAAUACCAUUAGAAGUGUCAUGAAAUUAGCAGUCUUAUAUGUAAAAAAUUGAUUGACUAAAUGCUGUGUUAAAAAACAAGAUUAAUACUUGCAUCUCCCCACUUGGAAAAUGCAAAUAUUUCAUUUCUUGCAAAUAACGUAUAUCAUGCGUUCUGUUCAAUCGCAUAUUCAAAAAUGUUAAAAACAAGAUUAAUAUUUCUAUCUCCCCACUUGGAAAAUGCAGUAUUUCAUUUUUUACGAAUAACGUAUAUCCUGUGUUCCGUCCAAUCGCGUAUUAAAAAAAUGUGUGAAGUUUGGAUUAACUACACUCUUUGAGAAUUUCCUUAAAUAACCACUUUUUGAAAAUUUCUUAUAGGACUAAGUGAGUCUCCGCUGAGAAUUUCCUUAACUAACACAACACUACUUGAGUGAUAAUUUGUUAUAUCUUGAAUAGAGAAUAAAUCAGUUCCCUACUUUUGAAGGUACUAUUAACUUACACUAUAUUUGAAUGAGAACAAUAAACUUAGAAUUUAGAUGAAGGAAAUAAAACAGUUUCCUACUUUUGAAGGUACUACUCGAGUGAUAAUUUGUUAUAUCUUGAUAACGUGUCAUAUUUUUUUGCUAAGCGGACCCAUUUUUGUGGGGUGGUAUAAUAAUGGCGUUUGUUGUUUGUCAAGGGCAUAUACCCAUUUAUCCAUUAGCAGUUAGGUCACCUCACUCACCCACAACCUAGUACAUCAACAAAUAUUGCUUACAAAUUCUAGAAAAUUCAACCAAGAGAAAGAAAACCAAAUGCUCGCAAAUUAAUCUGUGUAACAUUAGUUUUUAUCCAUUAGUAUUUAUUUUACAUUGGAAGAAAUUCCAAAUUUAAUCUCGUAAAGAGGGAUAUGAAAAUACUUUGUAUAUCUAUUAUCAAAAUCUUUGAAUGUUUGAAUGAUUGAUCAUCAAGUCUCACACGAUUGAAUUUAGUUCAAGUGAGGAAGAAAUACACACAAACUAUUAUAUAUGAGGAUUGAAAAAUACACUACAAAAUCUUGUGAUAACAUUUCUAAUAUUCCUUUCUAUCUACAUUUUGUGAUAAGUUUUUUUUUUCCUUUUUUGAACAAACUAUAUUUAUCUACAUUAAGGGAGAGGAGGUGAUCUUAGCCUCACAAUGGGCUAGCAUAAUGUGGUUCAAAUUCGCCUUUGGCGAUAAUCGAACCUAAAACUUAUCAUUUACAAGUAAAUAGGAAUACCACUAGAUGGAUCAUGAAAUUAGCAGUCUUAUAGGUAAAAAAAAAUUGAUCGACUAAAUGAUGUGUUAAAAAACAAGAUUAAUACUUGCAUCUCUCCACUUGAAAAAUGUAGAUAUUUCUGUGAACACGGAAAAUUCCUGAAACGAAAGAGACAAGAACAACGUGCACAAAAUAAUAUUUUGGUGUUAAUGGAUUUGUUGGGUUACGAUCUCUUUUAACUUGAUCCUCUGAUUCGAUCUCCGUAAGGUGUUGAUUUAUGGAUGUUUCGUUGAUCCAAGGGCUGUUGAGGCUUGAUCUUAGAUGAACUGUUGGAAGUUUCUUCAAGGGGCCGUGGGCUUGAUCUUUGAAGGUGGAUUUGAGCGGAUCUUCAAGGAGCCGUUGGGGCUUGAUCUUGAGGAUGAGUGUUUCUUCAAGGGCCGUUAAGGCUUGAUCUUGAAUAACGGUGAUGAACGGAUCUUCAAGGGCUUUUGGGCUUGAUCUUGAAGAACGGUUGGAUGUGUGGAUUUGUUGAUGUUGUUGAUCCAAGGGCCGUCGGAGCUUGAUCUUGGAAGAACGAUGAACGAAGAACGAAGAACACUUUCUUCAAAGGCCGUCGGGGCUUGAUCUUGAAUUGGUGAUUGUUGAUCCAAGGGCCGUCGGGGCUUGAUCUUGGAAGAACGAUGAACGAAGAACGAAGAACACUUUCUUCAAGGGCUGUCGGGGCUUGAUCUUGAAUUGGUGAUUGUUAAUCCAAGGGCCGUCGGGGCUUGAUCUUGAUUCUUCGGGAUGAACGGAUGAUGAACAAUGAACACUUUCUUCAAGGGCCGUCGGGGCUUGAUCUUGAAUUGGUGGAAGUUCUUCAAGGGCCUUUGGGGCUUGAUCUUGAAGGUGGAUGAUUGUUGAUCCAAGGGCCGUCGGGGCUUGAUCUUGGGAUGAACAGUUGUGUGGAUUUGUUGAACACUUUCUUCAAGGGCCGUCGAUGCUUGAUCUUGAAUUGGUGGAAGUUCUUCAAGGGCCGUUGGGGCUUGAUCUUGAAGGAGGAUUUGACGAAGAACGAAGAGGGCUUUCUUGAUCCUUCGGGAUUUGCUUGAAUUUGGGAGGUUGGAUGCUUGAAAGCUUUAGAGUUUCAAAGCUUCAAGGAUUUUGGAUGUGUGGGGAGUAUUCUCUUCCAUUUUGGGAGUAGAGAAAUGUAUUUGUGAAUUGGUUUUUGAUACCUUGAUGUAGAAGCCUAUUUAUAGGCUUUGAGAAUGAAUCACCACCACAAAAUAUUUUUUUUCUUUUCCAAGCACCAUUGCCUAAUUUCCCACUUAAUACAAUUUUAAACUUGAAGUGGUAAUUUUAUGGCCUAAUUUUCCACUUAAUAUCAUUUUAAACUUGAUAUGUGCAUGCUUUGUCAUUGCCCAAAAUGAGAAGAAAACCUUGUUUUGAUCUUCAAUGAAUUGAAAUGUGCUUGCCUUGUCAUUGCCCAAAAUGAGAAGAAAAACUUGUGUAAUCCUUCAAGGGUAUUUCUUUUUAUUUUGUUGAGUCGCACACCAUGUGUACAAUUUGUAUGACACGUGGCAUAUGCCAUGUACGCCUUGACACGUCAAAAUUUUAAUGCGUUGGUGAACAUUUAUUUCACCGCAAUUUCGGUGUCUACAAAUGCCCCCACUUCAAGGUGCGUCGUAUACAUGUGCUUGUCACGUGUAGGAGAUGCGUUUUGAAGUCCCUUACUGUAGAUGUCAAUCCAAUGGCCAUCGAGGCUUGAUCUUGAAUUGGGCUGGAGAUUUCUUCAAGGGCCGUUGAGGCUUGUUCUUGGACUUUGUUUGAAAUUUCUUCAAGGGCCAUCGAGGCUUGAUCUUGAAGGUUGAAAUUGGACCACAAGGAGCUUCAUGUGGUAGAUGAUCUUUGGCUUUGGUAGUGGAUGAAUCGGCACGUAUUUGUUUUUGCGCUUUGUUGACUUUCCACAGCUUUGAUCUUGAACUGGGUUGGAGGAUUUUUUGGAUUCCUCCAAUUGUUGAUUUUCCACAGUUUAUUCUUGAACUGGAUUUGAUUCAAAUAUGGUGGACGCUUGAUCUUGAAUCGGACUUGUGAUUUCCUCAAGGGCCGUCGAGGCUUGAUCUUGAAUUUGGCCGGAAACUUCUUCAAGGGCCGUUGAGGCUUGAUUCUUGAAGGUUGACUCGAACACAUGGCAAGCAGGCACGAGGUGAAGGUGACGACUUGUUGCUUUGUUCAAUCUUUCUAAUUCACACCUGAGCAGUUUGGUCAACGGUAUGAUCUUCAAGAUUGAUGGGCUCUUCUUCCAGUUGGUGAUUUGAUCUUUAAGGAUUUGAUUCAAGGGUGGUGAAACGGCACAUGCAGCCCACAACGCCUAGCAAGUCGACCCAAGAAUUUGAGGGUUAAAACGAGUCCUCCACCCAGAGUGAUUGCAAACCUGAUGAUAUGAGAUACUUUUGAUUUUGAAGAAGUAGCGGAUGAAUCGGCACGUGCUUUGUUGUGCUUGUCUCCACAUGCUUCAAUGUAUCAUUUUCCCUUGUCUUAUCUAUUCUUCUAGCAGAAUGUAGCAUCUUCUUAAGUUCUUCAACUCAGACUCCUUCUGCUGAGCUGACUGUGCAGGCUGCAUUAUUCUCUGCUUGUUUCUUUAGGCAGAUGUGGCAGCUUCUUGAGUUCCUCAGCUCGGACUCCUUCUGCUGAGCUGAUUGUGAAGACUGCAUUCUUAUCUGCUUGUUUCUUCUGUACGUUGUCUCCACAUGCUGCAAGGUAUCAUUUUCAAUUGCCUUAUUUGUUUUCCAGGCAAAUGUGGCAUCCGAGUUUGAGUGGAGGUUCUGGCAUAUUGUUUUCUUUAUCCUUGUCUUUGUAGGUAAGAACAAGGACAAAGGAAAGGACAGGGAGAACGCAUGAUAUGAUAUACUCUUGCUUUCUACCCUGGUGAUAUGAGAUACUUUUGCUUUGGUGUCAUUUGUUUGCAGAGGUACCCCAAGGAAUAAGAAACACUGAGUGACUCGAGAGGCUUUGUUGGGAAGGCAUUCUAGGAGAUGAAGAAAGGUUCUUGGAGAUGAAGAAAGGUUCUCGGAGAUGAAGAAAGGUUAUGUAUGUCUGCCUUGCUAUGGAGGGUAAAGGUGGACAGUUAUAGGAAAUUCUUUAGUACCUGUAGAGGUACUAUUCUUUUACUCGUGUCGGCAACCAAUGUGUGAUUGAUCAGUAUGGCUUCACGUGUUUUCUUCUUUAUCAGAAAUCUUCGACAAAUUGUCCGUAAUUUUCGUCAAGCUGAGUGUGCAUGUGACAGGUGUUGACGAGGCUGAAAAAGACUGGUGCCUCUUCGAUAUCUGGGAUCGGCGCUUCGACAAAUUGCCCGUGAUUUCCGCAAAGCUGAGUUUGCGCGUGACGGGUGCUGACGAGGCUGAAAAAGACUGGCGCCUCUUCGAUAUCUGGGAUUGGCGCUUUAACAAAUUGCCCAUGAUUUCUGCAAAGCUGAGUUUGCACGUGACGGGUGCUAACGCGUCUGGAAAAGCAAGAUGCUUCUCCGAUUUCUGAGCUUGCCUCUUUGAUUUUUGAAUUGGCCUCUUCGAAUUCUGAGCUCGCCUCUUCGAUCUUUGAAAUCCCAUCGAGUGUUGAUCUUUAUAGAGGCACGCAGUUCGUUUCAAAGCACACUUGAAUUUUCGCUUGUAGAAACUCCCUUCUUGCACUUCUAAGAUCUUGAUUUGUCCGACCUCUUCUUUCUUCAACACCUUUGAAAAUGUCUGGACCCUCCGACCGUCAUUUUGAUUUGAACCUUGGUGAAGAGGUAGUCCCGUCUUCUCCAGAUAACAUAUGACGCCCAUCUUUCAUAUCCCCUACUGGUCCUCUUACCGUUGGGGAUUCGGUGGUGAAGAAUGAUAUGACCGCUGCGGUGGUGGCCCGAAACCUUGUCACUCCCAGAGAUAACAGACUACUUUCCAAACGGUCUGAUGAGUUGGCUGUUAAGGAUUCUCUGGCUCUCAGUGUGCAGUGUGCAGGUUCUGUGUCUAAUAUGGCCCAACGCCUAUUUGCUCGAACCCGUCAAGUUGAAUCAUUGGCGGCUGAAGUGAUGAGUCUCAAACAGGAGAUAUUAGAGGGCUCAAGCAGAGAGAUAAACAGUUGCAUAAGCUCGCACAUAGCUAUGCGACAAACAUGAAGAGGAAGAUUAACCAGAUGCAGGAAUCUGAUGGUCAGAUUUUACUUGAUCAUCAGAGGUUUGUGGGUUUGUUCCAGCAGCAUUUGCCUUCGUCUUCUGGGGCUGUACCGCGUAAUGAAGCUCCAAAUGAUCAACCCUUGGCUCCUCUUCUUCCUGGAGUUCCGCCGAGUGGUGUGGCUUCAAACAGUCAACCUCCGACGCCUCUCAUUUCUGGAGCUCUGCUGAGUGGUGAGGUGGCACCUAAUCGUCCUUGAAGAUCCCCUCUUGUAAAUUUGAUUUGAUUUUUUUUUAAGUAUGUAUAAUGCAAAUUUAUGUAAAAUUUCCAGAAAAAAUAAAUAAAAACGGACUUUAUUUCUCUCAAUGCAUUUGUUUUGUUUUGUUUUUGUUUUUUUUGUUUUUUUGUUUUUGUUUUUUUUGUAAAUACAUAAUAACAUAUGUAUUUAUUUAUUUAUUCUUUUGUAAUAAAAUUGACUUUCUUUAAUAAAACUUUUAUAUUUUUCUUAUUUAUUUUGAUAUGACUGAACUCGAAAUUGAAUGUUCGAGCCGCCUACGUACCCUUCCAAAGAAGAGAUCAAGCCAUAACGUAGUUCAAAUGAGUGAUGAAUUUAAUAGUGAUUUUGAUGAUGAUUUUGCCGUACACAGUUUAUGCUCUUGUGGGCCAGGAGCUUUGGUGUUGCCUUUUAUGCUCGUGCAGACCAGGAGCGUUGAUGUCGCCUUUUAUGCUCGUGUGGGUCAGGAGCGUUGAUGUUGCCUUUUAUGCUCGUGCAGACCAGGAGCUUUGUGCCAUGCAGUUUAGACUCGUGCGGGCAAGGAGCUUUGGUUCGUGCAGUUUAGGCUCAUGCGAACAAGGAGCAUUGGUUCGUGCAGUUUAGGCUCGUGCGAACAAGGAGCAUUGGUGUUGCCUUUUAUGCUCGUGCAGACCAGGAGCUUUGUGCUAUGCAGUUUAGACUCGUGCGGGUGAGGAGAAUUUGUGAAUUUUGUCAAGCACUUUUGGAGAGGCGUUCCUUACAAUCUUCAUAGCAAGGAGCCUUGACCGAGUGAUUGAAGAAGUCUUCGGGAAAGAAGUCGCACAUCGUGAUGGCAACAGACGAUCUUUGUGUCGUAAUUUCAUCAUCUUCAACACGUUCACGUUGCUUUGAAGGUUGACAAGAGCUGCUUUGCCCCCUUUCCGAUUGGCGGACUUGUGGAGGAGACGUAUGCUUCUUGUGCCAUUUCUUAGGAGUGACUUGAGUCCAUCCUUCAAGUUUGCUUGUUUUGGAGGAUGCCCCCGGCGGUUGAGGUGAAAAUUUUGUGUUGAAAGAGCCAGAAGUGAUGGUGGUAUAGUUUGACUUCACCACAUCGUCAAGAUCUAGCUCGAUGAUUCCUUUCUGAGCCCACUUUAUGAUGAGAUCUUUCAGCACAAAGCACUUUUCUGUCGGAUGACUGAUGAAGCGGUGGAAUUUACAGUAUCUUGGACUGUUGGUACGAUUCAUCUCUUCCGGCCAUCUGCACUCAGGCAAACUGAUCACCUUCUUGUCCAACAGGUCAUCCAACAUGGCAACCACAUCAGAGUCAGGGAAUGGAUAAGUCUUCUCUUUAAGCUCCUUCAAAGUGCGUCUACGCAUCUCUUGAUCACGAAAAGCUUCGGUUUGAAUCGUUUUGCCUCGUGUGGAGAUUUUGACGGGAGAUGUGUUGACUGUCAUUGCUUCCUUGGUGGAUUUCCACGUAGCCUUCUCCACCUUUGUCUCAAGAAUUUUGUCGUUCUUGUAGUCGGCGAUCGGUUCCUUCUUCCCAUGAUGGGUGAUGCUCAACUCCAUGUCAUGGGCGUGGGUGGCCAAUUCCUCGAAGGUCCGUGGUUUAAUGCCUUGAAGGAUGUAUUGCAAACCUCAUUGCAUGCCUUGGAUGCACAUCUCGAUUGAAGAGGUCUCCGAGAGCCUAUCUUUGCAGUCGAGGCUUAGAGUGCGCCAUCUGUUGAUGUAGUCAAUGACCGGCUCAUCUUUCCAUUGCUUCAUACUUGUGAGCUCCAACAUGCUUACAGUGCGGCGGGUGUUGUAGAAGCGGUUGAGGAAUUCCCGCUCCAAUUGCUCCCAGCUGUUGAUGGACUCAGGCUCUAGGUCCGUGUACCACUCAAAUGCGUUUCUUUUCAGCGAGCGCAUAAACUGCUUGGCGAAGUAGUCCCCCUCCGUCCCCGCGUUGUUGCAAGUUUUGACGAAAUGUGCAACGUGCUGCUUUGGGUUUCCUUUUCCAUCAAACUGCAUGAACUUUGGUGGUUGAUAUCCCAUCGGCAUCUUUAGGGCAUCAAUCUUCUUUGAAUAAGGCUUUGAGUACAACCCGGAGGUAUUUGAGCUCCCUUCGUACUAUGCCUUGACGGUGCUGGCAAUCAUCUCUUGCAACUGUUGGAUAGAAAGAGAUCCCAUGAGUGCCGCUUCUUGGUCUGGCUCCGGCUUCACAUCGAUUUUCUCCACCGUAGGCUCAUCUUCUGGGUUAGGGUUCUCGCUGUCCUGUGGCUCCAGUUGACUGAUGAGUGCAGCGAUUUGCAAGUCUUUUUCUUCCACAGUUCGGGUUAGCCUUGCGAUUGCUUCAUUCAUUUGAGCCAGUUGUUCUUCGAUGGAGGUAACGCCGAUGGUCAUGACUUGUGCAACCAAUAGACGUGACUUUCCUUUAGACAUCCAAGAUGCUGAAGAAGAACGUCAUUGGUUGUUUUGGGAUGUCAUCUUGUGUGCCUCAGCAACAUGCUUUGGUGCCCCCAGCGAGGUCAGGUUGAUGACAGACUCACACCUUUGAUGCUCCCUUUGCUCUUUUAGCGGCACCAACUUUGAAGUGGCAUGUUAAGGAGCGGUUGUGGUGCUAAUGGAUUGUCCAUUUGCGGCAGAAGUGCUUAGGAUCCUUCCCUCAGUGAUUGCGAGAACGGCUUGUCCCUUGCUUGAUGCCAUUGAUUUUGAGGUGUGUUUGGAUUCCUUAAACGGAGAAAGAUAUGAGAGGUAGAGAUUGUCCCACCGGGCGUGCCAAUUUGUGAACACGAAAAUUUCCUGAAACGAAAGAGACAAGAACAACGUGCACAAAAUAAUAUUUUGGUGUUAAUGGAUUUGUUGGGUUACGAUCUCUUUUAACUUGAUCCUCUGAUUCGAUCUCCGUAAGGUGUUGAUUUAUGGAUGUUUCGUUGAUCUAAGGGCCGUCGAGGCUUGAUCUUGGAUGAACUGUUGGAAGUUUCUUCAAGGGGCCGUGGGCUUGAUCUUUGAAGGUGGAUUUGAGCGGAUCUUCAAGGAGCCGUUGGGGCUUGAUCUUGAGGAUGAGUGUUUCUUCAAGGGCCGUUAAGGCUUGAUCUUGAAUAACGGUGAUGAACGGAUCUUCAAGGGCUUUUGGGCUUGAUCUUGAAGAACGGUUGGAUGUGUGGAUUUGUUGAUGUUGUUGAUCCAAGGGCCGUCGGGGCUUGAUCUUGGAAGAACGAUGAACGAAGAACGAAGAACACUUUCUUCAAAGGCCGUCGGGGCUUGAUCUUGAAUUGGUGAUUGUUGAUCCAAGGGCCGUCGGGGCUUGAUCUUGGAAGAACGGUGAACGAAGAAUGAAGAACGAAGAACACUUUCUUCAAGGGCCGUCGGGGCUUGAUCUUGAAUUGGUGAUUGUUAAUCAAAGGGCCGUCGGGGCUUGAUCUUGGAAGAACGAUGAACGAAGAACGAAGAAGGCUUUCUUGAUUCUUCGGGAUGAACGGAUGAUGAACAAUGAACACUUUCUUCAAGGGCCAUCGGGGCUUGAUCUUGAAUUGGUGGAAGUUCUUCAGGGCCUUUGGGGCUUGAUCUUGAAGGUGGAUGAUUGUUGAUCCAAGGGCCGUCGGGGCUUGAUCUUGGGAUGAACAGUUGUGUGGAUUUGUUGAACACUUUCUUCAAGGGCCGUCGAUGCUUGAUCUUGAAUUGGUGGAAGUUCGUCAAGGGCCGUUGGGGCUUGAUCUUGAAGAAGGAUUUGACGAAGAACGAAGAGAGCUUUCUUGAUCCUUCGGAAUUUGCUUGAAUUUGGGAGGUUGGAUGCUUGAAAGCUUUAGAGUUUCAAAGCUUCAAGGAUUUUGGAUGUGUGGGGAGUAUUCUCUUACAUUUUGGGAGUAGAGAAAUGUAUUUGUGAAUUGGUUUUUGAUACCUUGAUGUAGAAGCCUAUUUAUAGGCUUUGAGAAUGAAUCACCACCACAAAAUAUUUUUUUCUUUUCCAAGCACCAUUGCCUAAUUUCCCACUUAAUACAAUUUUAAACUUGAAGUGGUAAUUUUAUGGCCUAAUUUUCCACUUAAUAUCAUUUUAAACUUGAUAUGUGCAUGCUUUGUCAUUGCCCAAAAUGAGAAGAAAACCUUGUUUUGAUCUUCAAUGGAUUGAAAUGUGCUUUGCCUUGUCAUUGCCCAAAAUGAGAAGAAAAACUUGUGUAAUCCUCCAAGGGUAUUUCUUUUUAUUUUGUUGAGUCACACACCAUGUGUACAAUUUGUAUGACACGUGGCAUAUGCCAUAUAUGCCUUGACACGUCAAAAUUUUAAUGCGUUGGUGAACAUUUAUUUCACCGCAAUUUCGAUGUCUACAAUUUCAUUUCUUGUGAAUAAUGUUUAUCCUGUGUUCUGUCCAAUCGCGUAUUAAAAAAUGUGUGAAGUUUGGAUUAACCACACUCUUUUAGAAUUUCCUUUAUUUACCACUUUUUGAGAAUUUCCAAUAAGACUGGGUGAGUCUCCGCUGAGAAUUUCCUCAACUAACACCACACUACUUGAGGGAUAAUUUGUUAUAUCUUUGAAUAAAGAAUAAAACAGUUUCCUACUUUUGAAGGUACUAUUAACUUACACUAUAUUUGGAUGAAGGUCAAACUUUAUAAAUUGACAUACACCAAAUUCUUUGUUUGGAUUCAUAAACAUAUAAAUUUAGAAUUUCCGCGUGGAAAAAAAAAAUACUUAGAAUUUGAGACCUCCAAUUCUCAAAUUGAAAGUUUAAAAAUAAUAAAUUCCGUAUUCAAUUCAAUUGUUCUUUUAGGUUAACCAAAUAAGAAAAUUCACAAAUUCUAAAAUAUAAAAUCUCAUCAUUUCAAUUUCCGUCAUUUUAAAAUUCCUUAGUAAUAUUAAAUUUCUUCAUCCAAACAUAGUGUUAAGAAAUUUUUUAAAGAUACACUAUUUACACUCAUUUUUAUUUCUUACACAUUUAUUAACUUUGUCCAUUGAUUUCUUCAAUUCAUUUUGCCAGUUAUACAAAAAUUGAGAACAGUAUUUAUGAAUUAAAAAUACAUUUGUAGAUGUCACUACCAAAUUUUUAUUCCUAAUUCAAGAAAAUCUUAUCCAUAUAUGAUUGCCCUUGCCCACUUUAAAUGGGUGCCAUCACUUUACGAUAGAGCAAUCCUAACCGUCCACCUAGGUAAGCAUAACUGGCGAUGCAUGUCGCAAGGGGACCGCAUUGCACAAUAUAAUUAUACUAGUUGAUAAGACAAGUGAUGUCAAUCAAUAAAUUAUUUCAUUAAAACUUAGUUGUAUGUAUCAUAUGUUGUAAUGUAGGGUGUAUGAUAUGCUGACGCUGUAAAAAAAUGUAACCUUUUUAAUAUUACUCAUAAUAGUAAGACUUACCAGUAUUAGGAUGUUAUCAGUGGAAUGAGAAUCCUCUCCAGAUCUUUUUUGUGAGCUAUUAUUUGUAUUUAAUUUUAAAUAUAAAAAAUUAAAAUAAUUUAUGACGGCAGUGAUUCACAUGAUCUUCACAAAGAGAAUCCAAAUAAUCUUAAUUUAUAUCAGUGUGUCUAGAUAACAUGAUCGAGCCCCUUUACUUUUACCCUAUUUAGUAUUUUACAUUUGAACCUGUAAAUAUUCGAUUUUUCUUUGGUGCAACCGAGCACCAAAUAUAGAUUUUUUUUCACUUUUAUAUAAUGAUAAAUAAAGGGCAAUUGGCAGAUUUGAAUUCCAUUCGGAUUGGUCAAAAAUCAUUUUAAAUUGUUUUAUUUAAAAUUAAACACAUAUAGUACUUAAUAAAAAUUAGUCGUACAAUAUACGAUAAACAGAUAUAAUGUAAGGACCUUUAUGAUCUUCACAAAAAAGAUCCAAAGGUUGUGUAGCUGUUUCAAAAGGAUAAUACUCACUUUUGAUUAGUUCAAUGAAAUUUUAAACAUGUUUUAUUGUUUUAAAAAAUAAUAAACAUAUUUAUUAAUGUUUGUUUUACUUUAAAAAAUAAGCAGCACUUGACAACAUUUGAUUGUGCUAAAUAAAAAAUGAGUGACCACUUAGUACUACAGUCUUAUGAUAUUUUUCUUCAUUUGAAAGUGAGAGGUUUUAAGUUCGAAUCUCGUGGAUGACGAAUUUGAUAUCAAAUUAGAUUGCUCACUAUGUGGCUUAGCCGAACUCUCAUUUCCUUUAAUGUAAAAAUAUUGAUGUAUUCAAAAAAAUAAAAAGUGACUAUAGAGGACACUCAAUCUCAGCUGUAUGAUUAAAUCAGACGGUAAGAAAAAUUCUGCAAGCAUACUCGGUUACAUUAAUUGAAGAAAAAAUGGGUAAAUAUUGGGCACCAACGUUAUAAAUACCCUCCACCAUGCACCCAACUCCCUCACACCAUCACAACCCACGUUACAAAUCCUCCUCCUCAUCAUAACCAUUCUGUUUUCCGCAUAAUAUCCAAAAACCUAUCAUGUCUGAAGAGAAACACCACCGCGGUCUCUUCCACCACCACAAGGAUGAAGACAAACCCUCAGACUACCCUCAGUCUGGCUACUCUGAUGAAGGACGUCCCGGCGGCCUCGGUGGUGGUUACGGCGACACCAAUGAUUAUUCUGGUGAAGGACGUACCGGCGGCCUAGGUGGUGGCUAUGGCGACACCAAUGCUUAUUCUGGUGAAGGACGUCCCGGCGGCUAUGGCGGCUAUAACGAGACCACUGCUUACUCUGAGGAAAGAGUUGAAAGACCCGGCGGUGGCCGGUACAGUGAGACUACUGCGGCAUAUGGCAGCACCACCACUCAUGAAUCUGAACUUGAUUACAAGAAGGAGGAGAAGCACCACAAGCAUCUCGAGCACCUCGGCGAGGCCGGUGUAGCUGCUGCCGGCGCUUUUGCCUUGGUACGUAUUGUAUUUUAACCCACCUCUAUAUAUAUAUAUAUUAGAAUAAUGCUAAUAAGACCAAAUUUUGAAAACUAAAUGAUGUGGUUGUUGAUAAUGAACUUAUUACUCAAGUCUUGAUUAACAUGCUUAUUUUCUAAUAGUGACACAUUAUUUGGUUUAGAAAUUUGGUCUUCCUAACUUUAUCAUUCUCAAAAUUUUCAUGAUUUUGAUAGGGUAAUACGGGAGAUCAAAAUUUCUAAACCAAAUUUGCAAACCAAUAGAUGAUUGGAUUAUUAAUUAAGUAUCGAUUGUUUGUUUCUUAUUAACGACAUAUCAUUUGAUUUACAAUUUAGUUAAAAAAAAUUUAUUCUUUCUGUCAUAUCCUUUUGAAUAUUUGAUCACUUUACUCUUUAUCACUUUACCCUUGAUCACUUUACCCAUACUCUUGCAACCGAAUCACCGUCCUCCUCCUUAACCUUCAUUUUUUUGUCUUACAGUACUCCAAUCUAUCAACUCUGUCCAUUGCAACUUUAAUUGUGAAGAAAAUUAAAGUCCUAUCGUAAAAUUAAUUAGUGAUAUGGAGAGUUGCGCAAUUAUUGAUGGACUAGGUAGGUAAGAUACGGAAUCAAAGUCUACCAUUAACAAUGGACGGAAUUGAUGAACCAUAUAGGUAUGUAAGAUACGGAAUCAAAGUCCUCAUGUAAAUGGUACAGUUGCAAUCAGGAGAAGAAAUGAGUUAACUGAUACCUUCGUAAUAGUUCAUGUAGAGUUUUGAUAUUAUUAAGCCUUAACCACCUGAUCUUAUAUAUACGAGGACAAAUCUAAUCAAAUAUGUGUUAAUUUCAAGGUUUGUUUUACAUUGAUGUGAGAUCGAUGCUAGCAAGAUAUAUAACUUAUGUCAGUUUCUAUAUGAUGUGUGUAGCAUGAGAAGCACAAUGAAAAGAAAGACCCAGAGCAUGCCCACAGGCACAAGAUAGAAGAGGAGAUUGCUGCAGCAGCUGCAGUUGGUUCGGGUGGAUUUGCCUUCCAUGAGCAUCAUGAGAAGAAAGAGACAAAGGAAGAAGAGGAAGAGGCUUAUGGAAAGAAGAAGCACCAC